RNAcentral lists this ribosomal RNA (328 nucleotides) under uncultured eukaryote. RNAcentral's name for it is "partial 18S ribosomal RNA". It matches the Rfam family "Eukaryotic small subunit ribosomal RNA", at positions 1470 to 1796 of the family's 1831-position model. The record is from RNAcentral.
CCCUUAGAUGUCCUGGGCCGCACGCGCGUUACACUGAUGCAUUCAACGAGCUUAUAACCUUGGCCGAGAGGCCUGGGCAAUCUUGUUAACGUGCAUCGUGAUAGGGAUAGAUUAUUGAAAUUAUUAAUCUUGAACGAGGAAUUCCUAGUAAACGCAGAUCAUCAAUCUGCAUUGAUUACGUCCCUGCCCUUUGUACACACCGCCCGUCGCACCUACCGAUUGGAUGGUCCGGUGAAGCCUCGGGAUUGUGGUUCUUGCCGCUUUAUUGUAGCGUGACCGCGAGAACUUGUCUAAACCUUAUUAUCUAGAGGAAGGUGAAGUCGUAACA